This 424-nucleotide transfer-messenger RNA is filed under the name Patescibacteria group. RNAcentral's name for it is "2-01-FULL-40-13 sp001789635 Standard tmRNA". It matches the Rfam family "transfer-messenger RNA". From Rfam's summary of the family: Bacterial tmRNA, also known as 10Sa RNA or SsrA, is named for its dual tRNA and mRNA-like properties. Its role is to liberate the mRNA from a stalled ribosome. RNAcentral also lists the same sequence under 2 other names. The record is from RNAcentral.
GGGGGUGAAAGGAAUCGACGGAAAGCAUGCACUUUUAAAAAUCGGUAGAGCGGACCUGUCCGUUAAACAGAAAAAUCAACAGCAAAGAAUGAUAUUUUUGCUGAUCUUAGAGCGUUCGCUAGAGAGCAAUUGGAAGGCGUAAUUGCUGCCCAAUAUGCUCAAAAGCAGGCCUUCGUUUACGCAGGCUAAACUUUGAGAUCCUCUGAUUAAGUUUCCCUUAGUUCAACUUAAUUAAGAGAUAAACCAAUUAAGGUGAGGCGAAAUUCGUGUUUACGAUUGACGAAUUAGUCAAAAAAACAUCAAUCGUCGUUCAUUUGACAUUUGAUUAUUUGUCAUUUGAAUUUAAUUUAAAUAAUCUAUCUCUACCUAAACAUUUUUAAAAUGGCCCUUCCGGACCCGGGUUCAAUUCCCGGCACCUCCACCA